Molecule: ribosomal RNA, 426 nt
Filed under: uncultured bacterium
Lineage: Bacteria
Description: bacterial SSU rRNA
Rfam family: Bacterial small subunit ribosomal RNA
Source: RNAcentral
GUGAGGAAUUUUCCGCAAUGGGCGAAAGCCUGACGGAGCAAUGCCGCGUGAAGGAUGAAGGCCUAUGGGUUGUAAACUUCUUUUCUCAGAAAAGAAUUAUGACGGUAUCUGAGGAAUAAGCAUCGGCUAACUCUGUGCCAGCAGCCGCGGUAAGACAGAGGAUGCAAGCGUUAUCCGGAAUGAUUGGGCGUAAAGCGUCUGUAGGUUGCUUAAAAAGUAUUCUGUCAAAGAUUAGGGCUUAACCCUAGAUAGGCAGAAUAAACUUUUAAGCUAGAGUUUGGUAGAGGCAGAGGGAAUUCCCGGUGGAGCGGUGAAAUGCGUAGAUAUCGGGAGGAACACCAAAGGCGAAGGCACUCUGCUGGGCCAAUACUAACACUGAGAGACGAAAGCGAGGGGAGCAAAUGGGAUUAGAAACCCUAGUAGUCC